This 497-nucleotide ribosomal RNA is filed under the name uncultured bacterium. RNAcentral's name for it is "partial 16S ribosomal RNA". It matches the Rfam family "Bacterial small subunit ribosomal RNA", at positions 28 to 523 of the family's 1533-position model. The record is from RNAcentral.
GAUGAACGCUGGCGGCGUGCUUAACACAUGCAAGUCGAACGAAGCAUUUAGAACGGAUUACUUCGGUUUGAAGUUCUUUAUGACUGAGUGGCGGACGGGUGAGUAACGCGUGGGUAACCUGCCUUGUACUGGGGGAUAGCAGCUGGAAACGGCUGGUAAUACCGCAUAAGCGCACAAUGUUGCAUGACAUGGUGUGAAAAACUCCGGUGGUAUAAGAUGGACCCGCGUCUGAUUAGCUAGUUGGUGAGAUAACAGCCCACCAAGGCGACGAUCAGUAGCCGACCGGAGAGGGUGACCGGCCACAUUGGGACUGAGACACGGCCCAGACUCCUACGGGAGGCAGCAGUGGGGAAUAUUGCACAAUGGAGGAAACUCUGAUGCAGCGACGCCGCGUGGGUGAAGAAGUAAUUCGUUAUGUAAAGCUCUAUCAGCAGGGAAGAUAGUGACGGUACCUGACUAAGAAGCUCCGGCUAAAUACGUGCCAGCAGCCGCCGUAA